Molecule: long non-coding RNA, 766 nt
Filed under: Gallus gallus (chicken)
Lineage: Eukaryota; Metazoa; Chordata; Aves; Galliformes; Phasianidae
Description: long non-coding RNA NONGGAT000949
Source: RNAcentral
CAAAAAUUGGCAGAAAUUAUAUUCUGUAUACGAGAGAAUGAAGAGUAUACUCAUGACUAAGCACAGGAACCUGGAAAACCACAGGAUUCCUGGGAAGCCACGGAGGAUGGGGUGAACUCAGAGCUGGAGCAUGAGGAGUUCUUUGGAACUUGUGAAUGGGAAGUUAUCCUGGUAAGAAGUGACCAAGUGCCACCACCACUGUGUUUAUAAAUACAUUUGGCUGUUCUUGUUUUUCUUUAGGUUCUAGGAAGGCUUUCUGUCUAAACCUUUAAAUUGCUUCUGAGAGAACAUGGUGAUCCCACAAAUGUUCACAGAUGACCAAGUCACCUUGUACAAAGUGAGAACACAUUUGCAGGCAGUUUAUUUCACUGACCAUCAUGUUAUUGCUCAUCACUUACUUAUGUAUGGUGACCCGCUUAAGCAUAGCUGGGGUGGAUGAAGUGUGCAGAACUAAGGCAUGUAUGGCCACGUAAUUCUCAUUGUUAUCACUUAUUAAGCAAAACAGCUAAGCAGUUCAUCCAACUUAAAUGUGGCUAUUUACAAAGGCUUUGAAAUUUUUUUUUCUGAUGUAGUACAGGUCAGCAUAUGCUUGUGGCUUUGUCAAACACUGCUGAGUUCAUUAGUUUGUGCCGAUGUGUUGAGAACAGAAAAUGAAAAUGUUACGGGUACAAAAUUUUAAUGUGGUCUCCCAUUACAUCAAGUGUUUGCCAAAAUAUUAAAUAAAACUGUUAACUAAGCAACGUGCUGCUCAAGAGUUCAAUCUACA